CUGUAAGCCUGCGAAGGUGUGCUGUGAGGCAUGCUGGAGGUAUCAGAAGUGCGAAUGCUGACAUAAGUAACGAUAAAGCGGGUGAAAAGCCCGCUCGCCGGAAGACCAAGGGUUCCUGUCCAACGUUAAUCGGGGCAGGGUGAGUCGACCCCUAAGGCGAGGCCGAAAGGCGUAGUCGAUGGGAAACAGGUUAAUAUUCCUGUACUUGGUGUUACUGCGAAGGGGGGACGGAGAAGGCUAUGUUGGCCGGGCGACGGUUGUCCCGGUUUAAGCGUGUAGGCUGGUUUUCCAGGCAAAUCCGGAAAAUCAAGGCUGAGGCGUGAUGACGAGGCACUACGGUGCUGAAGCAACAAAUGCCCUGCUUCCAGGAAAAGCCUCUAAGCAUCAGGUAACAUCAAAUCGUACCCCAAACCGACACAGGUGGUCAGGUAGAGAAUACCAAGGCGCUUGAGAGAACUCGGGUGAAGGAACUAGGCAAAAUGGUGCCGUAACUUCGGGAGAAGGCACGCUGAUAUGUAGGUGAAGCGACUUGCUCGUGGAGCUGAAAUCAGUCGAAGAUACCAGCUGGCUGCAACUGUUUAUUAAAAACACAGCACUGUGCAAACACGAAAGUGGACGUAUACGGUGUGACGCCUGCCCGGUGCCGGAAGGUUAAUUGAUGGGGUCAGCGCAAGCGAAGCUCUUGAUCGAAGCCCCGGUAAACGGCGGCCGUAACUAUAACGGUCCUAAGGUAGCGAAAUUCCUUGUCGGGUAAGUUCCGACCUGCACGAAUGGCGUAAUGAUGGCCAGGCUGUCUCCACCCGAGACUCAGUGAAAUUGAACUCGCUGUGAAGAUGCAGUGUACCCGCGGCAAGACGGAAAGACCCCGUGAACCUUUACUAUAGCUUGACACUGAACAUUGAGCCUUGAUGUGUAGGAUAGGUGGGAGGCUUUGAAGUGUGGACGCCAGUCUGCAUGGAGCCGACCUUGAAAUACCACCCUUUAAUGUUUGAUGUUCUAACGUUGACCCGUGAUCCGGGUUGCGGACAGUGUCUGGUGGGUAGUUUGACUGGGGCGGUCUCCUCCUAAAGAGUAACGGAGGAGCACGAAGGUUGGCUAAUCCUGGUCGGACAUCAGGAGGUUAGUGCAAUGGCAUAAGCCAGCUUGACUGCGAGCGUGACGGCGCGAGCAGGUGCGAAAGCAGGUCAUAGUGAUCCGGUGGUUCUGAAUGGAAGGGCCAUCGCUCAACGGAUAAAAGGUACUCCGGGGAUAACAGGCUGAUACCGCCCAAGAGUUCAUAUCGACGGCGGUGUUUGGCACCUCGAUGUCGGCUCAUCACAUCCUGGGGCUGAAGUAGGUCCCAAGGGUAUGGCUGUUCGCCAUUUAAAGUGGUACGCGAGCUGGGUUUAGAACGUCGUGAGACAGUUCGGUCCCUA
RNAcentral lists this ribosomal RNA (1415 nucleotides) under Escherichia coli. RNAcentral describes it as "partial 23S ribosomal RNA". It matches the Rfam family "Bacterial large subunit ribosomal RNA", at positions 1241 to 2640 of the family's 2925-position model. Lineage: Bacteria; Pseudomonadati; Pseudomonadota; Gammaproteobacteria; Enterobacterales; Enterobacteriaceae. The record is from RNAcentral.